RNAcentral lists this non-coding RNA (208 nucleotides) under Oscillospiraceae bacterium. RNAcentral's name for it is "6S RNA". It matches the Rfam family "6S / SsrS RNA". From Rfam's summary of the family: E. coli 6S RNA was the first non coding RNA to be sequenced, but its function was unknown until recently. The record is from RNAcentral. Lineage: Bacteria; Bacillati; Bacillota; Clostridia; Eubacteriales; Oscillospiraceae.
AAAUGCCUGCUUGGCACGCGGACUGCACUUUUUUAACCCUACAAAUAUAUAAUUCGGGAGCUGGACCUAAACUCCUGCGGUGGAUUGCAGACCUCCCUGCCCGCAUUUGCGGCAACAGGAGGAAGGGAGCGUGAAUCCGCAGGGCUGGCACCCACCUGCUUUUUAGUAGCAGGUUAUGCAAAGUGCGAUACGUCCAGGUGGGCAGCCC